This 1354-nucleotide ribosomal RNA is filed under the name Bacillus sp. (in: firmicutes). Its description in RNAcentral is "bacterial SSU rRNA". It matches the Rfam family "Bacterial small subunit ribosomal RNA", at positions 38 to 1390 of the family's 1533-position model. The record is from RNAcentral. Lineage: Bacteria; Bacillati; Bacillota; Bacilli; Caryophanales; Bacillaceae.
GGGGGGGGGGACUGUCUUUCAUGCAGUCGAGCGAAUGGAUUAAGAGCUUGCUCUUAUGAAGUUAGCGGCGGACGGGUGAGUAACACGUGGGUAACCUGCCCAUAAGACUGGGAUAACUCCGGGAAACCGGGGCUAAUACCGGAUAACAUUUUGAACUGCAUGGUUCGAAAUUGAAAGGCGGCUUCGGCUGUCACUUAUGGAUGGACCCGCGUCGCAUUAGCUAGUUGGUGAGGUAACGGCUCACCAAGGCAACGAUGCGUAGCCGACCUGAGAGGGUGAUCGGCCACACUGGGACUGAGACACGGCCCAGACUCCUACGGGAGGCAGCAGUAGGGAAUCUUCCGCAAUGGACGAAAGUCUGACGGAGCAACGCCGCGUGAGUGAUGAAGGCUUUCGGGUCGUAAAACUCUGUUGUUAGGGAAGAACAAGUGCUAGUUGAAUAAGCUGGCACCUUGACGGUACCUAACCAGAAAGCCACGGCUAACUACGUGCCAGCAGCCGCGGUAAUACGUAGGUGGCAAGCGUUAUCCGGAAUUAUUGGGCGUAAAGCGCGCGCAGGUGGUUUCUUAAGUCUGAUGUGAAAGCCCACGGCUCAACCGUGGAGGGUCAUUGGAAACUGGGAGACUUGAGUGCAGAAGAGGAAAGUGGAAUUCCAUGUGUAGCGGUGAAAUGCGUAGAGAUAUGGAGGAACACCAGUGGCGAAGGCGACUUUCUGGUCUGUAACUGACACUGAGGCGCGAAAGCGUGGGGAGCACACAGGAUUAGAUACCCUGGUAGUCCACGCCGUAGACGAUGAGUGCUAAGUGUUAGAGGGUUUCCGCCCUUUAGUGCUGAAGUUAACGCAUUAAGCACUCCGCCUGGGGAGUACGGCCGCAAGGCUGAAACUCAAAGGAAUUGACGGGGGCCCGCACAAGCGGUGGAGCAUGUGGUUUAAUUCGAAGCAACGCGAAAAAACUUACCAGGUCUUGACAUCCUCUGAAAACCCUAGAGAUAGGGCUUCUCCUUCGGGAGCAGAGUGACAGGUGGUGCAGGGUUUUCGUCACCUCCUGUCCGCAAGAAGUUGGUUUAGUCCCGCAACGAGGGCAACCCUUGAACUAAGUUGCCACCAUUAAGUGGGGCCCUCAAGGGAAUUCCGGUUAAAAACGGAAGAAAGGUGGGUUGACCCCCAAAAAAAUAGGCCCUUAGAACUGGGCCAACACGGGGUAAAAUGGACGGUAAAAAGACUUCCAACCCCCGGGGGGGGCUUAUCUUAAAAAACGUUCUUGGUUGGGGUGAGGGGCGGACUUCCCCCAUAAAGCGGGAUCUUUUUAACCGGGAACAAACGCCGGGAAAAAUUCCCCGGCCUUCCACACAG